RNAcentral lists this long non-coding RNA (750 nucleotides) under Citrus sinensis (sweet orange). Its description in RNAcentral is "long non-coding RNA (CSIN_LNC004336)". Lineage: Eukaryota; Viridiplantae; Streptophyta; Magnoliopsida; Sapindales; Rutaceae. The record is from RNAcentral.
CACCGUAAAACCAAAAUCUUAGUUUUGCCACUGAAAAUUGAAACCAUGUCAUUGGUAUUUCUUUUCAAAUUAUUAUGUGUUUUGCCCUACACACACUGUUCAGUGCACAAAGCUUGUUAAACAUUUUUGUUUCAUUGCGGAGAUCGCAUUUUGUUCUAUCAAAACAAUAACUCUAAUCAAUAAAUAAAAGCUCAAUGUAUUAUCAUUAACACAAUAUACAAUCUGAAGGAAGUUGCACAUUACAAAUAAUAAAUGACAAUGCUAAGACCUGUCAGGUCCAAACACAAGGAGCUAGCUUAGAGCUUCCCACUAACUCCGAAUGUUCAAAUUCAGCAACACGCCAACACCAAGCCUAUAUUGGGCUGGAACUUUAUUUAACUGAAUGCAAUCAUAUGAUAUUGAUUAUCAACAUAUACAAUGUUUCAAGGGCUGGUGGAAAAUGUAGGUGGAGAGAAAAUUGGGGGAAAUGAUGAGGAGAUUGGGGGAAUAGGAGGUAAUCUGUACUCUGGAUAUGGAGUGAUGGGCAAGAUGGGAGUAUCAAGCAAAGGGGGCAAAUCCAGGCCGGGGAUGGAGGGCAAACCGGAAGGAGUCUGCAAAAGGCGGCGAGCUCCUAGGGUUACAUCGAUGCUUGAGAAAGAUAGUGUGAUGAAGAAAGUUAAAAUGACGAAAUGGGAAGUAGCCAUCACUUUCCAAAGAAAGAAGAUGAUUGCUUAGUAACGUAUAAAAAUAAAGAACUAAUCUUUAUGAUGU